RNAcentral lists this ribosomal RNA (921 nucleotides) under Schizomida sp. MCZ IZ-89462 106351. RNAcentral's name for it is "SSU rRNA". It matches the Rfam family "Eukaryotic small subunit ribosomal RNA", at positions 24 to 944 of the family's 1831-position model. The record is from RNAcentral. RNAcentral also lists the same sequence under 3 other names. Lineage: Eukaryota; Metazoa; Arthropoda; Arachnida; Schizomida.
UCAUAUGCUUGUCUCAAAGAUUAAGCCAUGCAUGUCUAAGUACGUGCCUAAGAAAGGUGAAACCGCGAAUGGCUCAUUAAAUCAGUUAUGGUUCCUUAGAUCGUACCUUACUACUUGGAUAACUGUGGUAAUUCUAGAGCUAAUACAUGCAGCAGAGCUCCGACCUUCGGGGACGAGCGCUUUUAUUAGACCAAGACCAAUCGGACUUCGGUCCGAAGCUCAUGGUGACUCUGGAUAACUUUGGGCUGAUCGCACGGUCUCGUACCGGCGACGCAUCUUUCAAGUGUCUGCCUUAUCAACUUUCGAUGGUAGGUUAUGCGCCUACCAUGGUCGUAACGGGUAACGGGGAAUCAGGGUUCGAUUCCGGAGAGGGAGCCUGAGAAACGGCUACCACAUCCAAGGAAGGCAGCAGGCGCGCAAAUUACCCACUCCCGGCACGGGGAGGUAGUGACGAAAAAUAACAAUACGGGACUCUAUUGAGGCCCCGUAAUUGGAAUGAGUACACUCUAAAUCCUUUAACGAGGAUCUAUUGGAGGGCAAGUCUGGUGCCAGCAGCCGCGGUAAUUCCAGCUCCAAUAGCGUAUAUUAAAGUUGUUGCGGUUAAAAAGCUCGUAGUUGGAUCUCAGUUCCAGACGGGUGGUCCACCCCUGGUGGCUACUGCCUGGCCUGAACAAAUCCAGCCGGUUUUCCUUGAUGCUCUUCACCGAGUGUCUUGGGUGACCGGCACGUUUACUUUGAAAAAAUUAGAGUGCUCAAAGCAGGCGUGACGCCUGAAUAAUGGUGCAUGGAAUAAUGGAAUAGGACCUCGGUUCUAUUUUGUUGGUUUUCGGAACACGAGGUAAUGAUUAAGAGGGACAGACGGGGGCAUUCGUAUUGCGACGCUAGAGGUGAAAUUCUUGGACCGUCGCAAGACGAACUACU